GUUCGCCCCAUCCCUCCCCGUGCGUCUUUCGGGGCGCGCGGGGCGAAAGAAUGCUCCUGAGAGCUUCCUGGGCGGAAAUAUUUCCGCCGGGCGUCGCCAUCAGAAAUUCAGCAGGCUAUGCUUGCAUGGGAGGCGGCGCGGAUGGUUGGUCUCUCACAAUGUGGAGAGGCUGUUGAGUGCAAUUUGCGGCCCUGGCA
This 197-nucleotide unclassified non-coding RNA is filed under the name Clavispora lusitaniae. RNAcentral describes it as "partial RNase P RNA". The record is from RNAcentral. Lineage: Eukaryota; Fungi; Ascomycota; Pichiomycetes; Serinales; Metschnikowiaceae.